GACAAUGCCAACACAGAAUGAGUACAAGCACAAGAAACCAGCACCAUAAACAGUCAAACAAUGAAGAGGCUAUCUGUCAUAGGGAGGCACACCACAACAACCUAUACAACUCCGAGAACUUAGAGUAGAAGGGGAAUUGUUCACAUAUGCCUCUCGAGACAAGCAUGGCCAACAUUACCACUCAUGUGCUACUGAGUGGGUAUGGAGAGAAGAUGAAAAUCGGCUAUCCUACAAACAACCCAAGGCCAUUCUUUAGGAAAACCUAGAAAACCAACUCAAUUACAAACCCACCUUUCACAUGAAAAGCAAAAAUCUCACCCACCACAUAGGGAAGAGGUGAAAAAUAUAAUGAGGAGCCAAUUUUAAUGGAGCCACACAUGGCUACCCAGCCUAAUCAAAAUUUUCUAUUCGCAACAACCAGGCGGCAUGAUAGUGACAUGGGCACAACAAAGUUUUGGGGUUUCCAUCUAGGACCACAACAACGAAGGCACAAAGGAGCGUCGAGCAAACUUAACAAUUUUAUCAUUCGGAUGGGCACGAGAGGCAGGGACAAGCAUGGCCAACAUUAUUGCUCAUGUGCUACCGAGUGGGGAUGGAGAGAAGAAGAAAAGUGGCCACCCUGCAAAUGACCCAAGGCCAUUGCUCAAGCAAACCCGACAAAAAAACUCAAUUAACAAUGCACCUUUCACACGGAAAGAAAACCUAUCACCUAUAUCAUUUGGAUGGGCAUGAGGGACCAGGAUGACCUAGGGAGCCAAAUCACAACAACCCAUACAACUCCAAGAACUUAGAGAGCAGAAGGGGAAUUGUUCACAUAUGCCUCCCAGGAAGAGCAUGGCCAACAUCACUGCUCAUGUGCUAUCGAGUGGGGAGGGAGAGAAGAUAAAAAUUGGUCACCCUACAAAUGAACCAAGGCCAUCAUUCAGGCCAACCCAAAAGAACAACUCAAUUACCAACCCACCUUUCACAAGAAAAGAAAACUUGUCACUUGUAUCAUUUGGAUGGACACGAGGGACCAAGAUGAGAUGGGGAAGCCUUGUAUCGAGGGUGCACUGUGCAUAAGCAUCGAAAGGGAAUCGGGUUAAUAUUCCUGAACCGGGACGUGGUGGUAGGCAUCAAUGUUAGGAAAUCUGAAGACAUCGUCGGGAGCCCUGGGAAGAGUUAAUCUUUUAUUUUUAACAUCUUUCCCACCCUGGAAUCGGUUCACCUGAAGCGAGGGUCUAGUAGUUGGAAGAGCAACGCACAUCUUGCAGUGUCUGGUGUGCCCUCAGUGGCCCUUGAACAUUUGGAGGACCGAGUAUCAUUCAUGCCUAGUCGUACUCAUAACUGCAUCAGGUCUCCAAAGUGAAUAGCCUCUGGUCAAUAGAACAAUGUAGGUAAGGGAAGUCGGUAAAACUAAUCUGUAACUUCAGGAAAAGGAUUGGCUCUAAGGGCUAGGCCUAAGGGUCUGCGUCCUCAAGUCAUGGGCUAUCAAUAGUCUACCUGAGCUAUUCUCAUGGAAAGGGUGGGCAGUUGCAUGUCGAUUGGGCUACGGGUGUAGAAUGCCCUUUGUUGGGGGCUUUUCCCUAGGCGGCUAAUAGUCGACUCAAAAUUAUUAUGGACAAGGGGAAUCCAACUGUUUAAUUAAAAAAAGAAUUGUGAUGGUCCCUGCAAAUGCUGACACAAUGUGAUUUCUACCUAAUUCUCUGAAUAUCAAAGUGAGGAAAUUCAACCAAGCAUGGUAAAUGGCGGGAGUAACUAUGACUCUCUUAAGGUAGUCGAAUGCCUCAUCACGGUGACGUGCAUGAAUAGAUUAACGAGAUUCCCACUAUCCCUAUAUACUAUCUAGCAAAACCACAACCAAGGGAAUGGGCUUAGCAUAAUCAGUAGGGAAAGAAGACCAUGUUGAGCUUGACUCUAGUCUGACUUUGUGAAAUGACUUGAGAGGUGUAGAAUAGUGGGAGUCGUUUUCAGUGCAAGUGAAAUACCACUACUUUUACCAUUAUUUUAUUUAUUUCGUGGGGUGGAGACAGGGCACUACCCCCAUUUUUGGCCUCAAGGCACGUUUCAGAGGGUCGAUCUGGGUAUAAUACAUUGUCUGGUGGGGAGAUUGGCUAGGGCGGCACAUCUGUUAAAAGAUAACACAGGUGUCCUAAGAUGAGCUCAACGACAAAAAAAUCUUGUGUGGAACAAAAGGGUGAAAGCUCAUUUGAUUUUGAUUUUUAGUAUGAAUAAAAAUCAUGCAAUCGUGGCCUAUCAAUCCUUUAGAUUUUUGGUAUUUGAAGCUAGAGGUGUUAGAAAAGUUACCACAGGGAUAAUUCGCUUGUGGUAGCCAAGCAUUCAUAGCAAUGUUUCUUUUUGAUCCUUUGAUGUCAACUCUUCCUAUCCUUGUGAAACAGAAUUCACCAAGUGUUGGAUUGUUCACCCACCAAUAGGGAACGUGAGCUAGGUUUAGACCAUUGUGAGACAAGAUAGUUUUACCCUACUAAUGAACCACACCACAAUAGUAAUUCAACUUAGUAUGAAAGGAACCAUUGAUUCACACAAUUGUUCAUCGCACUUGGUUGAAAAUUCAAUGGCAUUAAGCUACCGUGUGUCAGAUUAUAACUGAACACCUCUAAGUCAAAAUCCACACUAGAAUCAGUGCAUUUCACUCUUCGACUAUAUCUCGAGCCAUAGUAGGGGCAUCACUUUGUCACCCCCAGGGACCCAUGUCAUUUGUAAACCGUGACCGUGAAGCAUCUCGGUCAGGGUAGCUUUGAAGUUCAAGUCUAAACAUUCAUUAAGAAGAAUCAUUUAUAGACGACCUAAAUUCGCGAUGGGGUAUUGUAAGUGGCAGAGUGGCCUUGCCACCAUGAUCCACUGAGAUUCAUCCCUUGGUCACCU
This 2865-nucleotide ribosomal RNA is filed under the name Pinus taeda (loblolly pine). RNAcentral's name for it is "eukaryotic LSU rRNA". The stretch from base 783 to 2865 matches the Rfam family "Eukaryotic large subunit ribosomal RNA". The record is from RNAcentral. Lineage: Eukaryota; Viridiplantae; Streptophyta; Pinopsida; Pinales; Pinaceae.